Molecule: ribosomal RNA, 745 nt
Filed under: Bacillus sp. SMCC G908
Lineage: Bacteria; Bacillati; Bacillota; Bacilli; Caryophanales; Bacillaceae
Description: bacterial SSU rRNA
Rfam family: Bacterial small subunit ribosomal RNA
Source: RNAcentral
CUCAGGACGAACGCUGGCGGCGUGCCUAAUACAUGCAAGUCGAGCGAACUGAUGAAGAGCUUGCUUUUGAUCAGUUAGCGGCGGACGGGUGAGUAACACGUGGGUAACCUGCCUGUAAGACUAGGAUAACUCCGGGAAACCGGGGCUAAUACUGGAUAACUUUUCUCUCCGCAUGGAGAGAGAUUGAAAGAUGGCUUCGGCUAUCACUUACAGAUGGACCCGCGGCGCAUUAGCUAGUUGGUGAGGUAACGGCUCACCAAGGCAACGAUGCGUAGCCGACCUGAGAGGGUGAUCGGCCACAUUGGGACUGAGACACGGCCCAAACUCCUACGGGAGGCAGCAGUAGGGAAUCUUCCGCAAUGGACGAAAGUCUGACGGAGCAACGCCGCGUGAGUGAAGAAGGUCUUCGGAUCGUAAAACUCUGUUGUUAGGGAAGAACAAGUAUCGUUCGAAUAGGGCGGUACCUUGACGGUACCUAACCAGAAAGCCACGGCUAACUACGUGCCAGCAGCCGCGGUAAUACGUAGGUGGCAAGCGUUGUCCGGAAUUAUUGGGCGUAAAGCGCGCGCAGGCGGUCUUUUAAGUCUGAUGUGAAAGCCCACGGCUCAACCGUGGAGGGUCAUUGGAAACUGGAAGACUUGAGUGCAGAAGAGGAGAGUGGAAUUCCACGUGUAGCGGUGAAAUGCGUAGAGAUGUGGAGGAACACCAGUGGCGAAGGCGACUCUCUGGUCUGUAACUGACGCUG